This 497-nucleotide ribosomal RNA is filed under the name uncultured bacterium. RNAcentral's name for it is "partial 16S ribosomal RNA". It matches the Rfam family "Bacterial small subunit ribosomal RNA", at positions 28 to 507 of the family's 1533-position model. The record is from RNAcentral.
GAUGAACGCUGGCGGCGUGCCUAACACAUGCAAGUCGAGCGAACAGACCAGGACUUUGCUCCCCUGACGUUAGCGGCGGACGGGAGAGUCACAUGUGGAUAACCUACCUAUAAGACUGGGAUAACUUCGGGAAACCGGAGCUUAAUCCGGAUAAUAUAUGGAACCGUAUGGUUCAAUAGUGAAAGACGGUUUUGCUGUCAGUUAUAGCUGGCUCCGCGCCGCAUGAGCUAGUUGGUAAGGAACCGGCUUACCAAGGCAACGAUGCGUAGCCGACCUGAGAGAGUGAUCGGCCACACUGGAAGUGAGACACGCACCAGACUCCUGCGAGAGGCAGCAGUAGAGAAUCUUACGCAAUGGGGGAGAGCUUGACGGAGCAACGCAGCGUGAGUGAUGAAGGUCCUCGGAGCGUUAAACUCUGUUAUUAGGGAAGAACAAAUGUUUAAGUAACUAUGCACGUCUUGACGGUACCUAAACAGAAAGCCACGGCUAACUACGUG